AUUGAACGCUGGCGGCAGGCCUAACACAUGCAAGUCGAACGAGUGGCGGACGGGUGAGUAAUGUCUGGGAAACUGCCUGAUGGAGGGGGAUAACUACUGGAACCGGUAGCUAAUACCGCAUACCAUCGGAUGUGCCCAGAUUGGAUUAGCUAGUAGGUGGGGUAAAGGCUCACCUGGGCGACGAUCCCUAGCUGGUCUGAGAGGAGGACCAGCAACACUGGAAUGGAGAAACGGUCCAUAUUCCUACGGGAGGCAGCAGUGGGGAAUAUUGCACAAUGGGCGAAAGCCUGAUGCAGCCAUGCCGCGUGUAUGAAGAAGGCCUUCGGGUUGUAAAGUACUUUCAGCGGGGAGGCGUUACCCGCAGAAGAAGCACCGGCUAACUCCGUGCCAGCAGCCGCGGUAAUUC
RNAcentral lists this ribosomal RNA (406 nucleotides) under uncultured bacterium. RNAcentral describes it as "partial 16S ribosomal RNA". It matches the Rfam family "Bacterial small subunit ribosomal RNA", at positions 30 to 526 of the family's 1533-position model. The record is from RNAcentral.